GCGGAAGUAGUUCAGUGGUAGAAUACAACCUUGCCAAGGUUGGGGUCGCGGGUUCGAAUCCCGUCUUCCGCUCCAGUA
This 78-nucleotide transfer RNA is filed under the name Bacillus anthracis str. Sterne. RNAcentral's name for it is "tRNA-Gly". It matches the Rfam family "tRNA". Rfam says of the family: Transfer RNA (tRNA) molecules are approximately 80 nucleotides in length. Their secondary structure includes four short double-helical elements and three loops (D, anti-codon, and T loops). Further hydrogen bonds mediate the characteristic L-shaped molecular structure. tRNAs have two regions of fundamental functional importance: the anti-codon, which is responsible for specific mRNA codon recognition, and the 3' end, to which the tRNAs corresponding amino acid is attached (by aminoacyl-tRNA synthetases). tRNAs cope with the degeneracy of the genetic code in two manners: having more than one tRNA (with a specific anti-codon) for a particular amino acid; and 'wobble' base-pairing, i.e. permitting non-standard base-pairing at the 3rd anti-codon position. Lineage: Bacteria; Bacillati; Bacillota; Bacilli; Caryophanales; Bacillaceae. The record is from RNAcentral. RNAcentral also lists the same sequence under 3 other names.